GUUUGUCUUCACUAAUUUAAUUAUCAUACUUCAUUCAAUUCGCAUAUGUCACGUCCCGGGACCGGCAGAGGCCUUCCCGGUAGCGUGCCCAGACCCGCCAUAUGUCAACACAUAUAAGGCGUCUAAAAUAACAGCGGAAAUAAAAUCAAGAAAUAAUCUAUAUCUAGAGAUAUCAGAGCAGGUAUGAUUCUAUCAUCUAUGACAAGGUAAACGGAAGAUACUAAACAAUAGAAGUGAAAUAUAAAGUAAUACAAUAUUAUCUCCAAAAAUAAUACACAAAGAAGUGGUCUCUAGUACACUGGUACAGCUCUCAACCUCUCCAAAAUAAAAAUAUCGAGAGGUAGACCACCUAGCGACUCGUCACUCGCUGAAGAGCUAGCUCGAAGCCACGCGCUUCCCUCGGUCCCUAGCCUCUCCCGGCGUGGAAGGCUCUGAAAGAAAAUAUAAAACAGAGGGCGUGAGAACUAUAAUUUAUAGUUCACAGUAGGCAAUUACUGACCUCAGCUCAAUGCACCACUAGGCCCCAAAAGAAAAGGGUAAGUCAACAAGGCAAUAGUAACGAAAU
This 565-nucleotide long non-coding RNA is filed under the name Ananas comosus (pineapple). RNAcentral's name for it is "long non-coding RNA (ACOM_LNC025575)". Lineage: Eukaryota; Viridiplantae; Streptophyta; Magnoliopsida; Poales; Bromeliaceae. The record is from RNAcentral.